GAUGAACGCUGGCGGCGGGCCUAAUACAUGCAAGUCGAGCGAACAGACGAAGAGCUUUCUCCGCUGACGUUAGCGGCGAACGGGUGAGUAACACGUGGAUAACCUACCUAUAAGACGGGGAGAACUUCGGAAGACCGGAUAUAAUACCGUAUAAUAUAUUGAACCGCAUUGAUCAUGAGUAAAAGGCAGGUUGUCGGGCACGUAUAGACGGUUGCGUACCUCAUUAGCUAGGUGGUAAGGUAACGGCUUACCAAGGCAACGAUGGGUAGCGGAACUGAGAGGGUGAUCGGCCACACUGGAACUGAGACACGGUCCAGACUCCUACGGGAGGCAGCAGUAGGGAAUCUUACGCAAUGGGCGAAAGCCUGACGGAGCAACGCCGCGUGAGUGAUGAAGGUCUUCGGAUUGUAAAACUCUGUUAUUAGGUAAGAACAAAUGUGUAAGUAACUAUGCACGUCUUGACGGUAACUAAUGAGAAAGCCACGGCUAACUACGUG
RNAcentral lists this ribosomal RNA (497 nucleotides) under uncultured bacterium. RNAcentral's name for it is "partial 16S ribosomal RNA". It matches the Rfam family "Bacterial small subunit ribosomal RNA", at positions 28 to 507 of the family's 1533-position model. The record is from RNAcentral.